RNAcentral lists this ribosomal RNA (486 nucleotides) under uncultured microorganism. Its description in RNAcentral is "bacterial SSU rRNA". It matches the Rfam family "Bacterial small subunit ribosomal RNA", at positions 9 to 484 of the family's 1533-position model. The record is from RNAcentral.
GAGUUUGAUCAUGGCUCAGGAUGAACGCCGGCGGUGUGCCUAAUACAUGCAAGUCGUACGCACUGGCCCAACUGAUUGAUGGUGCUUGCACCUGAUCGACGAUGGAUCACCAGUGAGUGGCGGACGGGUGAGUAACACGUAGGUAACCUGCCCUGUACAGGGGAUAACAAUCAGAAAUGACUGCUAAUACCGCAUAAGACCACAGCACCGCAUGGUGCAGGGGUAAAAACUCCGGUGGUACAGGAUGGACCCGCGUCUGAUUAGCUGGUUGGUGAGGUAACGGCUCACCAAGGCGACGAUCAGUAGCCGGCUUGAGAGAGUGAACGGCCACAUUGGGACUGAGACACGGCCCAAAACUCCUACGGGAGGCAGCAGUGGGAAUAUUGCACAAUGGGGAAACCCUGAUGCAGCAACGCCGCGUGAGUGAAGAAGUAUUUCGGUAUGUAAAAGCUCUAUCAGCAGGGAAGAAAGUGACGGUACCUGACU